This 302-nucleotide long non-coding RNA is filed under the name Ananas comosus (pineapple). Its description in RNAcentral is "long non-coding RNA (ACOM_LNC014988)". Lineage: Eukaryota; Viridiplantae; Streptophyta; Magnoliopsida; Poales; Bromeliaceae. The record is from RNAcentral.
ACAACAAGUUGGAAGCACGACACAUCAAAGUAUCAAGCCACCUAAUACCUCUUUAUUGAACCAAAAAUUUACAACCAAAACCGUCGAAACAUCGACAAUGAACCGACUCACUAGGAGUCCCCAUAGCUUACAACAUCCACAAGCUGCUAGUGACACUAAGCCGCGAACCGUACAAACUUAUGCUUUAGGAAACGGUUUCUCUAACCGAUUUUCGCACCACAACCGCGCUAUACCCAAAGCUCCGACAAUACCCUGGAAUAUCUCGAGUCAAAACAAACCACUAACUCACAACAUACCAAUUU